CGCACAUUGCGCCCGCCAGUACUCUGGCGGGCAUGCCUGUUCGAGCGUCAUUUCAACCCUCAAGCCCCGCUUGGUGUUGGGGUCCUACGGCUGCCGUAGGCCCUGAAAGCUAGUGGCGGGCUCGCUAUAACUCCGAGCGUAGUAGUAAAAUAUCUCGCUAGGGAGGUGUCGCGGGUUCCGGCCGUGAAAGCCCAUCUUUUACACAAGGUUGACCUCGGAUCAGGUAGGAAUACCCGCUGAACUUAA
Molecule: unclassified non-coding RNA, 246 nt
Filed under: Coniochaeta decumbens
Lineage: Eukaryota; Fungi; Ascomycota; Sordariomycetes; Coniochaetales; Coniochaetaceae
Description: partial contains 5.8S ribosomal RNA, internal transcribed spacer 2, and large subunit ribosomal RNA
Source: RNAcentral